CCAGCAGAGCUGCCCAAAGCCACUCUGAAGGUGCAGCUAUUGGACUUCAAGCGGUUUUCAGAACAUGAGCCACUGGGGGAGCUCCAGCUACCCCUGGGCACUGUGGACCUUCAGCAUGUCCUGGAGAGCUGGUACCAGCUAGGCCCUCCAGGUUCCACUGAGAGGCCUAUGUGAAGGUCCAGCUUAUAUUAAACCAGAGAAAGUGGAAGAAGAACAAAACAUCCUCCAAGAAGGGCACAACUAACCCCUACUUCAACGAGGCCUUCGUCUUCCUGGUUCCCGUUAGCCAGCUCCAGAGCAUGGACCUGGUGCUGGCUGUCUGGGCCCGGGGCCUGCAGCUCCUGGCUGAGCCUGUGGGCAAAGUGUUGCUGGGUCCCCGGGCUUCAGGCCAACCCCUACAGCACUGGGCAGACAUGCUGGCCCAUGCUCGGCGGCCCAUCGCCCAGUGGCACCACCUGCGGUCACCCAGGGAAGUGGAUCGUGCUCUGGCCCUGCAGCCUCGUCUUCCCCUGCUUAGGCCUCGCUCCUGAAAGAACCGUAGGUCUCAGCUUUCCCCAGUGGAGAGCUGUGGCCAUUUGUGCAGGCUCUUCGGAUCUCUCUGUAAUAAAUGCAUCCUCUAUCACA
Molecule: long non-coding RNA, 624 nt
Filed under: Rattus norvegicus (Norway rat)
Lineage: Eukaryota; Metazoa; Chordata; Mammalia; Rodentia; Muridae
Description: long non-coding RNA NONRATT001365
Source: RNAcentral